GUCAAUGGGCUAUGAACGAGAGCAAGU
RNAcentral lists this non-coding RNA (27 nucleotides) under Cricetulus griseus (Chinese hamster). Lineage: Eukaryota; Metazoa; Chordata; Mammalia; Rodentia; Cricetidae. The record is from RNAcentral.